Molecule: long non-coding RNA, 2425 nt
Organism: Thunnus maccoyii (southern bluefin tuna)
Lineage: Eukaryota; Metazoa; Chordata; Actinopteri; Scombriformes; Scombridae
Exons: 12
Source: RefSeq, a predicted model, not a curated record
UUUAAAAGCCUCCUUUCUUCUUCUAUGGUCCUCGUUUUGCCCCCUUCACCUCUCGCCUUUGUACAAUGUUCUUUUGGGAGAGGUCGUUGUUGAUGAUCAUAAUCCAUCCCAUUGUUUCUCAUAGAUUACUGUGUAUAAUUUUUGUUCCCAGUAGUGUUAUAAUGUCUGUCUCCACCAAGUGGUAACUACCACAGUUGGAAACUGAAGCCAAUGCAGAAGUCCCUGACUUACCUGCUGCUCUCCUCGGCUCCAGGACUCACAGCCGACGGGAGCCUCCACCCUUCACCACCCCGUUCUACAGUUCCCCCUGGUGGAUGCAGAUCAGACCUGUCUGUCUUCAAGGGACAAGUGAGACAUAAAGGCAACUUGAAGAGGAGUUACAAAAGGUUAGCAGUCUGAUGAUUUCCAGAAAAAUUACACUGAAUGUGUGACAGCUUUCAAAAUCUUCUGAGAUCCCUUGACCACUUCAGGUCAUGUGAGCAGGUGUCUCUCAAUGUCUUCAUCACUGGCAGGUAAAUAUCAGCUCACUAAUGGGGCCAGACUGAUGAUUUUUGGAAAAAUACCAAGCUCAAACACACGUCAGCUACGAGCUCAAGGACGAUGUGGCAGUUGUACGAUUCAACGAUCCAACAUCCCAGGUGAACGCGCUGUCGGUGCAGAUGCAGUCUGAGCUGAUGAAGGUGAUGGGUGAGAUCUGGUCCAACGGCUCUGUGAAAAGUGCCGUUCUCCGUCUCCAGCAAGCCCAGCUGCUUUAUCACUGGCGUGGAUAUCAAGUCAGCAGAUGUUCAAGAAGAUCGAGAACUCUCCCAUUCCCAUUGUUGUAGCCAUCAAUGGCUCUGCCUGGGUGGAGUUGUUGAGUUUGCGAUAUUCUGCCAGUACUGAGUUACCACCAAAAGCCGAAAAACAAUCCUGGGUGCAGCAGAGGUCAUGCUAGGACUUGUGCCUGGAGCAGAUGGCACUCAGAGACUGCCUAAAAUGGUGGGUCUCCCCGGAGCAUUUGACAUGAUGCUGACAGGCAGGAACAUCAGGGCUGAUAAAGCUAAGAAGAUAGGUCUAGUGCACCAGCUUGUGGACCCUCUGGGUUUACUCCAGGUCCUGGUUUGAGGCCUGAGGAGGAGAGGACUGUUGAGGAGGUGGCAGUAGGCGUGGCCAAAGGAAUCGCAGACUAGAAGGUCUAGUUACAAAGGAGAAGGGUCUUUAUGUCUCACAAGAAGCUUGACAGCAAGCUUCGGUUUUUCCUGUCAGCUGUGCAAUGCUGCUUGAUGAAGCUGGCAUUGAUGUAUCAUUACAUGUAGCAGAGCUCAUCAGACUCUCACAUCCAGUACCUGCCGAUGUCUUGCUUUAUAAACAAGGCAGUUCUAUGUCUCCAGGAGUGAGUACUGACAAACCCAGCAGAGGGAGACACUGGAACAGUGUUCGGACUUGACUUCCCUGCUUGGGCGCCCUUUGUAUCUUGGACCCCCAUCCAUCAGGUCCAUUCAGGUUUGUGGACUUGAUCGGGGUGGAACGUCUCGUCAGCAUCACGAUGCAUUUCGAGAAAGUUUAUGGAAACCAGUUCACACCCUGCCAGCAGCUGCUAGACCACACCAAAGACCCCAGUAAGAAGUUUUAUACAUGAUCCAACAUCCCUUUUCUAAAAUGACCCUCAGGGCUGAAACUGAGUAACUCAUGUCAGGUCAAGUGUCCACAAGGCUGGUGUGAAAACGGGAAUGAUGGAAAUGUAACCAGAACCCAGUGGUUCUGGGUACAAGGAACUGCAGCAUAAUUUAUCUAAAACCCAAAGUAUAUGACAUUUGUUAGAGAAAUGCACAAUUUAGUGGCCUUCAACUUGUGGCCUUUACAUUGUUUGAGUGUUUGUUUUUACGGUAUGCAUAAUUAAUGCUGUUAAACAGUGACUUUGCCUAAGGUAUUUUGUUUUUUUUACAGGUGAGAGUGGGUUUAGGAUAGUUUAAUGAUCUGAAACACUAACUUUAUAGCAGGUCUCCUUUUGGUUAUGGUAUUACUGGGGGGAGGGUAUGUACAGAGGCAAGAGGGAAGUCAGCUAAUUUGUUGAAAAUCUCAGUGUAACUCAGGUGAUACAAUUUAAAACGUGUUUGAAGUAUGACCUUAACACGGUGACAUACCUGGUUCUUGUGCUCUUGGUUUCCUCUAACAGAAACCAGCCUCCUCCCCAUAUAAAGACUCUCCUGUCAAACUGAAUGUGGCUUGAAUGAAGAGGAGGGAAUGCACUGUUUUUUUUUUCUUUUUUGUAUUUACCUGUAUACAACUCUUCUUGUACAUACCGCUAUUUAAUGCAUGGACAAAUUUUGAUUAUAAAGGAUUAUUACUAAAGGAUAGUCAGGUUCCCAAAUGAACAUCAACAUGUUUUUCUUGCUGUAAUCAUUCCUCCUGUUCAUACUGACCAUUAGAAUAUCCCUUCAUAAUG